UAGGGAAUCUUCGGCAAUGGACGAAAGUCUGACCGAGCAACGCCGCGUGAGUGUAGAAGGUUUUCGGAUCGUAAAACUCUGUUGUUAGAGAAGAACAAGGACGUUAGUAACUGAACGUCCCCUGACGGUAUCUAACCAGAAAGCCACGGCUAACUACGUGCCAGCAGCCGCGGUAAUACGUAGGUGGCAAGCGUUGUCCGGAUUUAUUGGGCGUAAAGCGAGCGCAGGCGGUUUCUUAAGUCUGAUGUGAAAGCCCCCGGCUCAACCGGGGAGGGUCAUUGGAAACUGGGAGACUUGAGUGCAGAAGAGGAGAGUGGAAUUCCAUGUGUAGCGGUGAAAUGCGUAGAUAUAUGGAGGAACACCAGUGGCGAAGGCGGCUCUCUGGUCUGUAACUGACGCUGAGGCUCGAAAGCGUGGGGAGCAAACAGG
RNAcentral lists this ribosomal RNA (429 nucleotides) under Chloroflexota bacterium. Its description in RNAcentral is "Chloroflexi bacterium partial 16S ribosomal RNA". It matches the Rfam family "Bacterial small subunit ribosomal RNA", at positions 355 to 776 of the family's 1533-position model. Lineage: Bacteria; Bacillati; Chloroflexota. The record is from RNAcentral. RNAcentral also lists the same sequence under 1 other name.